CCUACGGGGCGCAGCAGUAGGGAAUUUUCGUCAAUGGGCGCAAGCCUGAACGAGCAAUGCCGCGUGAACGAGGAAGGUCUUCGGAUCGUAAAGUUCUGUUGAAGGGGAAAAAGAGCGGAGAGAGGAAAUGCUUUCUGAUUGAUAUUACCCUUCGAGGAAGUCACGGCUAACUACGUGCCAGCAGCCGCGGUAAUACGUAGGUGGCGAGCGUUAUCCGGAAUGAUUGGGCGUAAAGGGUGCGUAGGCGGCCUGGCAAGUCUGAAGUGAAAGCUCCGGGCUCAACCUGGGAAUUGCUUUGGAAACUG
This 305-nucleotide ribosomal RNA is filed under the name uncultured bacterium. Its description in RNAcentral is "bacterial SSU rRNA". It matches the Rfam family "Bacterial small subunit ribosomal RNA", at positions 338 to 635 of the family's 1533-position model. The record is from RNAcentral.